AAUAAAAUGGCUGAUUUUAAGCGAUAAAUUGUAAAUUUAUUUAUGAAUAAGUAUAUUCUUUUAUUA
This 66-nucleotide transfer RNA is filed under the name Hydroptila angulata. Its description in RNAcentral is "tRNA-Tyr". The record is from RNAcentral. Lineage: Eukaryota; Metazoa; Arthropoda; Insecta; Trichoptera; Hydroptilidae.